AAAUUACAUGCGGGGAGCUGGUGAAAACCGGCUGAGAGGAAGCGUAAUUCCGCUUCGACCCAUAACCUGAUUUGGAUAAUGCCAACGUAGGGAACAUAUCUUAACGCGAUA
Molecule: non-coding RNA, 111 nt
Filed under: Dorea formicigenerans
Lineage: Bacteria; Bacillati; Bacillota; Clostridia; Lachnospirales; Lachnospiraceae
Also listed under: 1 other name
Description: TPP sequence
Rfam family: TPP riboswitch aptamer (THI element)
About the family: Vitamin B(1) in its active form thiamin pyrophosphate (TPP) is an essential coenzyme that is synthesised by coupling of pyrimidine and thiazole moieties in bacteria. The previously detected thiamin-regulatory element, thi box was extended, resulting in a new, highly conserved RNA secondary structure, the THI element, which is widely distributed in eubacteria and also occurs in some archaea. Analysis of operon structures identified a large number of new candidate thiamin-regulated genes, mostly transporters, in various prokaryotic organisms.
Source: RNAcentral